Molecule: ribosomal RNA, 253 nt
Filed under: uncultured bacterium
Lineage: Bacteria
Description: partial 16S ribosomal RNA
Rfam family: Bacterial small subunit ribosomal RNA
Source: RNAcentral
UACGGAGGGGGCGAGCGUUAUUCGGAAUUAUUGGGCGUAAAGGGCGCGUAGGCGGCUGUACAAGUCAAAGGUGAAAUCCCUCGGCUCAACUGAGGAACUGCCUUUGAAACUGUACGGCUUGAGGCCGGGAGGGGGUAGCGGAAUUCCCAGUGUAGCGGUGAAAUGCGUAGAUACUGGGAGGAACACCAGUGGCGAAGGCGGCUACCUGGACCGGUUCUGACGCUGAGGCGCGAAAGCGUGGGGAGCAAACAGG